RNAcentral lists this ribosomal RNA (641 nucleotides) under uncultured Lactobacillus sp. RNAcentral's name for it is "bacterial SSU rRNA". It matches the Rfam family "Bacterial small subunit ribosomal RNA", at positions 442 to 1085 of the family's 1533-position model. Lineage: Bacteria; Bacillati; Bacillota; Bacilli; Lactobacillales; Lactobacillaceae. The record is from RNAcentral.
GUAUCGUAGUACUGUGUUCUUUCUGUGACGGUAACUACUCAGAAAGUCACGGCUAACUACGUGCCAGCAGCCGCGGUAAUACGUAGGUGGCAAGCGUUUCCGGAUUUAUUGGGCGUAAAGCGAGCGCAGGCGGUUCAUUAAGUCUGAUGUGAAAGCCUUCGGCUCAACCGAAGAAUUGCAUCGGAAACUGGUGAACUUGAGUGCAGAAGAGGAGAGUGGAACUCCAUGUGUAGCGGUGGAAUGCGUAGAUAUAUGGAAGAACACCAGUGGCGAAGGCGGCUCUCUGGUCUGCAACUGACGCUGAGGCUCGAAAGCAUGGGUAGCGAACAGGAUUAGAUACCCUGGUAGUCCAUGCCGUAAACGAUGAGUGCUAAGUGUUGGAGGGUUUCCGCCUUUCAGUGUCGCAGCUAACGCAUUAAGCACUCCGCCUGGGGAGUACGACCGCAAGGUUGAAACUCAAAGGAAUUGACGGGGGCCCGCACAAGCGGUGGAGCAUGUGGUUUAAUUCGAAGCUACGCGAAGAACCUUACCAGGUCUUGACAUCCUGUGCAAACCUAAGAGAUUAGGUGUUCCCUUCGGGGACGCUGAGACAGGUGGUGCAUGGCUGUCGUCAGCUCGUGUCGUGAGAUGUUGGGUUAAGU